RNAcentral lists this ribosomal RNA (93 nucleotides) under Vulpes vulpes (red fox). The record is from RNAcentral. Lineage: Eukaryota; Metazoa; Chordata; Mammalia; Carnivora; Canidae.
GUCUCUGGCCAUACCACCUUGAGCACACUGGAUUCUCCUCUGACCUCGGAAGCUAAUUAGGGCCAGGCCUGGUUAGUGCUUGGAUGGGAGAUA